UAAAUUGGUUUUAGUAUGUCCUGGAUAUCAAAAUGUAUACACAUGUGACAUAGAUGGAUACUAUCACCUAGAUAAUCUCUGCCUUAUGUCUGAAAAUGAUGAUUCAUGGGUUUGGCAUCGUAGACUAGGACACAUCAACAUGAAGCUAAUUAAUAACAUUUUAUCUAAAGAACACAUGUGUGGUCUUCCUAAGUUAAAGUUCUUAAAAG
Molecule: long non-coding RNA, 209 nt
Filed under: Panax ginseng (ginseng)
Lineage: Eukaryota; Viridiplantae; Streptophyta; Magnoliopsida; Apiales; Araliaceae
Description: long non-coding RNA (PGIN_LNC018167)
Source: RNAcentral